Molecule: long non-coding RNA, 737 nt
Filed under: Anas platyrhynchos platyrhynchos (common mallard)
Lineage: Eukaryota; Metazoa; Chordata; Aves; Anseriformes; Anatidae
Description: lncRNA (ENSAPLG00000018088.1)
Source: RNAcentral
UUUUUUUUUUUUUCUCCAGAAUGAGCACCUGUUAUGCUAUCAGGUUCUUAACUACACACAUUGAAGUAUUCUCAUAGAAACAUCAACCUUUUCAGAAUGCCAGAACCUUAACUUUGCAAUUAAGACAAUUUGGACUGACAAGAAUAUCACUGGUAUUAGUAGACCUCAGGAGAGUCUAUGAAAGUGAUAAAAAUCACCGCAGCCAACUUUUGGGCAUAACUGGCUAAGUAGCAGGAGGUGCAGGGUGUCUUCUAUGGGAAAAGGUCAAGAACUAAUAGUCACAGCCAGGUCCAGAUGAGUUGGAAACAAACGGAAACAGCCAACUGCAGACCAAAACUUCAACCAGUCUAAGGACCAUGUGGCACCACUUCUCAUACAUCAGUGAGAAAGAAACAAAAGGAGGAAGUGCAGGAGACACAUGGAAGGAGAUAUUGCUAAGAAUAGAGCUGGAGAUGUGCUCUUGGAAGAUGUAGUACUACAAGAGGUCUGAGGGACUGUGGAGCCAUAAUACCCCUGCAGCCUGGCAGACUAAGGCAGAGCUGACUGCUGAAAACUGUGGGAAUGGAGACUUUCUAGGGGAAAGAAAGGUAUUGAACUGAAGUUGAGGCUGUAGAGGGGAGAGGAAAACUGUUAGCUUAGGUGACCGUAAGUUGUAUGUCUAUUUUUCCUCAGUACUCAGUUCAGUAGUUAAAAGAUUAUGUUAACUGGCAAUAAAUCAAAUAAAGUGAAAUUCCCCA